This 468-nucleotide ribosomal RNA is filed under the name uncultured bacterium. RNAcentral's name for it is "partial 16S ribosomal RNA". It matches the Rfam family "Bacterial small subunit ribosomal RNA", at positions 28 to 507 of the family's 1533-position model. The record is from RNAcentral.
GACGAACGCUGGCGGCGUGCUUAACACAUGCAAGUCGAACGGAAAGGCCCUGCUUUGGUGGGGUGCUCGAGUGGCGAACGGGUGAGUAACACGUGAGUAACCUGCCCUUGACUUUGGGAUAACUUCAGGAAACUUGGGCUAAUACCGGAUAGGAGCUCCUGCUGCAUGGUGGGGGUGGGAAAGUUUCGGCGGUUGGGGAUGGACUCGCGGCUUAUCAGCUUGUUGGUGGGGUAGUGGCUUACCAAGGCUUUGACGGGUAGCCGGCCUGAGAGGGUGACCGGCCACAUUGGGACUGAGAUGCGGCCCAGACUCCUACGGGAGGCAGCAGUGGGGAAUAUUGCACAAUGGGCGGAAGCCUGAUGCAGCCACGCCGCGUGCGGGAUGACGGCCUUCGGGUUGUAAACCGCUUUCGCCUGUGACGAAGCGUGAGUGACGGUAAUGGGUAAAGAAGCACCGGCUAACUACGUG